UCUUUCUUUGCUGGCGACCGGCGCACGGGUGAGUAACACGUAUCCAACCUGCCCUUUACUCGGGGAUAGCCUUUCGAAAGAAAGAUUAAUACCCGAUAGCAUAAUGAUUCCGCAUGGUUUCAUUAUUAAAGGAUUCCGGUAAAGGAUGGGGAUGCGUUCCAUUAGGUUGUUGGUGGGGUAACGGCCCACCAAGCCUUCGAUGGAUAGGGGUUCUGAGAGGAAGGUCCCCCACAUUGGUACUGAGACACGGACCAA
Molecule: ribosomal RNA, 255 nt
Filed under: uncultured bacterium
Lineage: Bacteria
Description: partial 16S ribosomal RNA
Rfam family: Bacterial small subunit ribosomal RNA
Source: RNAcentral